AAGGAAGUGCUUGCAGCCGCCUGCGAGGGGCGGCAGUUCUCACUCCCCCGGCGCUGGGAGGAGGCUGGAGGAAGUUUGGCUCCGCUGAUACUAGCCCGGCCGGCUCAGCUCGUAGCUAAGCAGCAGCAGCAGCAGCAGCAGCUCGCGUUGCUCCUGAGCCACCGGCCGCUCACUCCAGAGCUUUUCCUCCAGUGUCCAGUGCAUAUAUUCACACUUUUGAGAAAUGAGAACAGAUGACUCUGAAGCUGUUGAAGUGGGUUGGAGAUCAUGAGUACAAAGAAACUUUUUU
RNAcentral lists this long non-coding RNA (289 nucleotides) under Chelonoidis abingdonii (Abingdon island giant tortoise). RNAcentral describes it as "lncRNA (ENSCABG00000006051.1)". The record is from RNAcentral. Lineage: Eukaryota; Metazoa; Chordata; Testudines; Testudinidae.